RNAcentral lists this long non-coding RNA (6384 nucleotides) under Triticum aestivum (bread wheat). RNAcentral describes it as "long non-coding RNA (TAES_LNC015120)". The record is from RNAcentral. Lineage: Eukaryota; Viridiplantae; Streptophyta; Magnoliopsida; Poales; Poaceae.
UUUUCUUCCAUAUGGAAUGCAGGAACCCACUGCCCGUGUCGAGUUGUUACUUGAAAAAUAGCUAGCUUGACAUGAAACUGAGGGACUACUCCUUGAACUGUUGUACAAUCAACAACAUAUGUGCAUGGUUAAAACCAUGGCAAAUAAUGGUUUGAAUACAUGUGAGGAUCAGAUAACUGAUCAUACCCUUGUUACUCUCAAGUGGAUAUAUCCCUGAGAGAGAUAAUACAAGACUCAUUGCAAUCAAACCUUCUAAAUCUUAUAUGAUAGAACGAAUGACGGGAACAACAAAUGCAGGGAGAGGAAAGGCAGAGAGGUGACCAAGUGAGUGAGUAAAGAAGCUAAGCAAACUUCCCAAAUUACACUCCCAUACUCCCAUGGUGAUGCAAGGCUCUUUAGAAGUCGUGUUGCAAGGAGUAAUUAACUGGCUAGAAAGGCUUCAUCAAGAUCGUCUAUUCACAUAUCAAACAAGUUGCGAAGCGAAAGCAUUGAACAUUUGGAGCUACAACUUAGUGGGCGACACAAAGAAGUUGGAAACGACAUAUAGCAAUACAACUUAAACUUUAAUAAAAUGAGAAAUAUAGUUACCUUCUUCAAAACAAAUAGAAAAGAGAAAACUUUGUGUGUGCCAUUCAAACUUCACUAAGAAAUUAAAAGACGGUGACAUUCCCUAACUCUUAUUACCGUGUAGGACAUGGAGGUUCCGGUGUGCGCCAUUCAUUUUCUUUUUCUCCCAUGUGACCUCUAACUCGUAUUACUGUGCCUGGCAUGGAAAUGUUGUGUAUUAUACACAAUGGCCUACUAAAACCAUAUACAGUGUACUAGAAUGUUGUGUAUGCCGCAUGUAAAUAUUGUGUGUGCCGGCUGAGCAGGUGAGCAAUGCAACAACAAAUAGAUGCACAAAGAGUACACUGUUCUACAUAGAUGAGGGAAUAUCAGGUGUAUGUAUGCGUGCACAUGCGCGCCUCCGGGCCAAAUGGGAACAGCAAAUAACAUGGCGACCUUGCUCCACUAUAAUCCUUUUCGGAAAAAAAUUAUGGUCGAUUGCAACCUAAUACUCCCUCCAUUCCAUCAAUGUCAAUCAAUUGUGGUGUCACUCAGGACCUUCACGGACCAAGGCCGCUAGGCUGAGAAUGCCUUAUCGCCAUCGGAUCAUGGUAGGCAUGCCAUAGGGUGUAUCCGGGACAAAACCAAGUCUGCCUAGAGAACAAGAACGAGCAGUCUGACAUGAUGUGUUGCAUCAUUUCCGGUAGCAUACAUGCCAGCUAGUGCAGCAAUCUAGUAGCAGUUUUGGCACGCAAGCAAGGUGAAGAAUUUGAUGGGCUAGGCGUCCAUGACUUCUCAGUAAGCUUCCGAUGCUGGGCCCAGAACGAGCCUUGGUACAGGGCUGAGUUGCUAGUCGUGUUAUCGUGUAUCAACAAACACUAAAGGAGGUAGUCUGGCUCGCCAUGCAGCUGAAAGUCACGGAGGGCGAGCUUGACACUUUGAACUCUGUCUUUUUUUUUGGAAGACUAUGAACUCUGUCAAUUGUACCGAGUGCUAUCGAAGUUAGCUCUUCAGUCUUCAGUACCAGAAAAGUCGGCAUGGUUAAAAUCAUUCUCGUGAAAGGAACAAGGAGUGAUUGAUGUCAAAAUCCUUUCAUAAGCUCCCCACAGGCAGCAGCAGUUGCCGGCGAUUUAUAGUUAACUUUUGUAAAUGUGUUGGGUCCAGAACUCAAACAAGGUUCAUGCAACGAGCUCAGGUUCAUGCAACGAGCUCAUGUUUACAGUUAACUUUUGUAAAUGUGUUGGGUCCAGAACUCAAACAAGGUUCAUGCAACGAGCUCAGGUAUACAGGCUCGGUCCCUCUAUCAUCAAGCAAUACCUUCACUCAUGCAUGGCUAGAUAGUGGUCAAGCUGUAGAUCCAAUGUCAUCGUUGAUGUUCUACAUGAAAUAGGAAGCAGUGGUAUUACUGAGGUGAGGGCUGCCUGUGGUAGUCACCAAUUAGUGCAUGGUUAAUUCCCUCCCACCCAUGGUAAUCCACAUUAUACUUGCUGUCCAGUCAUUUAUAUUCUUAUGUAGUGAACUCUUGUGCCUUGCCCUAUUAUUACACAAAUACUCUACUUGAUAUCCGAGAUUUCCCCGGAUAAAGUGCGAGGCCCAGAUCAUGUGAUAAGUCACAUACUAGUAGCCAGAAGCACUCCUGUUUUAAGCUUUAACAUACUUAACAGCAUAUCAAGAUCCAUAAAAAGUAAAUUAGAGAUUACAGAAAUGGAAUAUACCUGGUUAACAGCUACUGCGAAAGCAAUACUCUCUGAUCUGGCAGCAACAUCCAGAAGAUAUUGCUAGCAACAUCCAGAAGAUAUUGCUACCAACAUCCAGUGCGAUUUCUCAGACUCAUCUGGUGAAAGUGCUAGCAUCAGAGCCUCAGAUCUGUGCAGAUAAUAUUAAAAAGUAAUGAGAUAUGUGAUACAUCUCGUGCACUUCCAAGUUCAAACAAUAGCAGUCCAAAUAAUGUGAUAAUAUAUGAUGUGCGCCGAGUGAGCGGCCAGGAACAUGUAGGUUGUGUGUGUGUAAGAAAAAAAACCAAUGCAAGUUGCAUACAUUUACACCAAACGCUUAAUGGAAAUAAGAAGAUAUAUAGGUCAAACUAAUAGCUGAGUACAAUCAUAUAAAUCACUGUUUGGAUAUCAAAUCAACAUGUUGUAUUCACACAAAAUGGUUUGCAGGUAGCCAACUUAAUGUGUCAGGCUAUAUACUUUUCACUCUGAGAACCUGGAGAGAGAGAAGACCAACAAGCUAUAAAUUAAAAAUAAAAGAGGAAGAUUUAUUUUUACAUUAUAGCCUGUUAGUUUGUAGUAGGCCUGCCAGUUAAUGGUUUGACUAUGGUGGAAGACUGAACUGUCAGAAUGGGCUAGUAUUUGUAGUAUGUAUGCGUGCACGUGCAUGCACACACACAAAUCUCAAGCCUCCGGACCAAAUGGGAACAGCAAAUAGCAUGGAUGGAAGAGGUACGUAAUUGUAUACACGAACUACAAACGCAACCAAAUAUCGGUGGAAGCUUCGUGGCCUUUGUAUCUGGUUUAACUGGGCAACUCUUUUUCCAUAUGGAGAUGCAGGAAGCCCCUGGCCCUGUCGAGUUGGUACUUGAAAAAUAGCUAGCUUGACAUGAAACUGAGGGACUACUUGAUCAGCUCUACAAUCAACACCAUAUGCACCUGGUUAAAAUCAUAGCUUGACAUUAAACUGAGGGACUACUUGCCGCAGAGUUCCAUCGCCCACUAUCUGCACAACCUCCCCCCUUCUCCUCGCUAUCUGCUCUUCCCCCUUCCCCGUCUCCUUCGGCUACCUGCGCAAGUACGCCACCGAGGCCGUUGAUGCCCCAACGUCUCUCCUAUCUCCUCUCUUUCCUUCUACAGCAGGCCCACCGCCCACCACCACCACAUUCCCCUCGUCAUUCCCGUCCCCCCCAACGGCGACUUCUAGAAGUAUGCCGCCGCCUGCGAUCUGCUCAACUCUGAGGCCAUGACGCCACCUACUGCUAUUUCCCCUUCCCGGCCGACGCGCUCCACCCCCUAUUCUGGUGUGAUAGUUGAUGUGGAGGUGCUACUGCCUUUCCUUGCCAAAACUUAUCCUGCCCAGCCCUUGGCGCCUCCCGAAUUCACUAUUUUCUGCCACCAAGUCCGUGCCUUUUUGGAACCGUCCAGAAACCAGGUGGGUAUGCAGAUGGGACUCAUACUGCCCGAACUAAGCCCAAGAAGCCAUACACUGGUCACACUCUCACACAUUGAGAUCAAACAGAGUGUGAGGAGGUAGGAUUCGCUGCCCUUCUCGUUUUGAUCUGCUCGUCAAGGACCAAGGUAUGGUGGUCUGACGAAGAUUAAAAUCUCAUAUAUCUGACUAUCUCUCAACAACUCUUGUUUCAUUUCUGUCGGGCAAUCCUUACUUGUGCAAAUGCAGAGAUUAAAGCAUUAGUGGUAACAUAGAGAACUGUCUUCUAUGCCCAAGUCACCACUUCUUGUGAAAUAAAACUUUAAGUAUUAAAAGGAAUCCCAAGCGUUGAAUAAAACUUUUAGAUUUAUAAGUGCAGCAUGCUUCAUACUUCAUCAUUCUGGACAUUUUUGCUGUGAAUGUAUUUUGUUUUCCCACCACCGGCUGCAAGUUAUGAAUCGUAUAUGGGUCCUGCUUGUUAUGAUAGGCUCUUGUGAAAUGCUGUGAAAUUUUGAUUCUGUUUGGGUUUGUACUUUUUGGCUACCACACCUAUGCAUAUCACUUGUUUUAUCCGUAUUGCUUACCAGAUGAUGAUAAGAUUUAUCAUGUGGAAUUUCAGAUCUGAGUCGCAACUCAUUUAGUGGUAUGCUCACGUCGUUAAGUGCUUGGAGCAAGGAGAAAGCUCGAAAGGUAAAUCAUUAGUCGAAACCGUGUGCCUAUAAAAUCUAUAUGUGUCUUUGAAUUGUUUUUUUAGUAGUUGCCUUUGUUACUCUUUCUGUUCAGAUAAAAACAGAUGAUGCCUACAACAGGUCGUUUUGUCAUCAGCACCUCUCCUUUGCUUGGUAGCUCCAGUCCAAUUUUUCAGGCUGCACCCUGGAUAUUUAUUUCCAUGCUGUCUGUUAUCGACAUUUUUUUUUGCAGAAACCUGGUUGAUGUAAGAAGUUACAAGUAUGUGAACUCAUCCCUUCUAUAUACAUAUGUUUCAAAAUCAUUUUUUACUUGACAUUUGGUUUUUUUGCUCUGUACAAUGUUCUGCAACUGUUGUCCAUUGUUUUUUUCCUUUGCCUAAUUAUACUACAGACCUCUACAUGCUCCUUGUUUUGCCGGUCUAAAUAUACAGGAGACUAUAUAUAUGAUGUAUUGAUUGUCCGAUGUACUUUUAGGUGAGAAGAUUAAGUACUGGUUGUCUGAUGUUCUUUUAGGUGAGAACAUAGAUGAGCUUAACUAUUCAGUCAAACACUUGUACUUCAAUCUUGUUUCUUUGUUCUGGAAGCAUUUAUAAGUGUGUGCUCAGGCUAUAUAAUAUGUUUGUCAUUUGGAUAUAUUAAUUGCUGCCAUUUACCUUCACAUUUAAGUCUGGUUUGCCUAAUAUACUAGCACAAAGUGAGCUGAAUCCUUGGAUAAAAGGUAACAUAAUAGCUUGUUUUGCUUUCUAGAGCUGUUCCAAGGAAAGCAACAGUUCCGUUGAAGUAGUUACUCUAAGGCUGUACAUGAUAAUAUGUACUGAAAAUCGAUGGCUGUGCCAGUGAUUUGGGAGAUUUGGCGUGAGCGCAAUCGCCGCAUUUUUCACAAAUUAGAGUUGUUAGCUUGCCAUUGACGAAGCCAAUGUUGGAAGAAUACCGGCGCACGACACAUCAUUCAGUAAUAGUAAUCUAGCUUGGUGGUCCUCGGGGAUUCUGUGUGUUUCUCCUCUGCCUUUCCGGUGUUUUGUACAUUGUUCACUCAUGUCAAUAAAAUCAAAGUUGUCUGGUGCAAUUGCCAAAUGUUUAUGGAUAGAUUUUCUAUUUGUCACAUUUUCUGUGUCCCCUCAAUAUGAGAGAGCAAUGAGAAAACUGUGACGAGUCUUCUGCAAGUUGAAAAUGUGGAAGAAAAUGUUUGGCUUGGACAAGGGGGUUUAUUAGUUGGAAACCAUGUGUUUGAUUUUGCUCAAUGUGUACCUAUCAAUGAUAUAACAUCACUUUGAUCAAGAUCUUGGUACAUCUUUUAUUGUUCACUAGGCUGCUGACCCUUGAGUAAACAAUGUUCCACGAGAUCUCUUGUAAUUCCGUGGCGCAGCACGGGCAUCUUACUAGUUACUUGCUAAUACGUAUCUCACUAGAGAACUUAAAUCAAAACUGUGGAUGUGAUCUCACCUAGUAGUGCCAGGAGAGCGACUCCGCAAUGUGGCCCUCGUGCUGGCCGGCGGCGAAGCGGCCACCUCUGCCGAAACUUGUAUGAUUGGCCUUCCUGUGCAUCCAUCUCCAUGUCCAAGUGUCCAGGUCGCCAGCACGGUUGCUGAGGGACAUGGACUGACGGACGGCGCCAUCGCUAGCGCAUCUGGAUCUCCUCACCGGCCCACUCCUCCCGUUUCUACCCCGCCCGACAGAGGCACGGCGGCCGGGCGUCGAGGGUGCGGGGAGGGGAGGGGGGAGAGCUGUUCGUUGGAUUGGUGGGCACGGUCGUCGUCGCCGACUUCAGAGACGCGGCGCCGCAGGAGACCGCGGGAGUAGGACGCAAACGCCAGCGCGAGAGAGGGGAGAAACUAAACUGGGCGGUACAAGCGGCGUGGUGACGACGGCUGGAGGAGUGGCGGCGGCCGGCGGCGGGGGUUGGUUGGUGAAGGGGAGGGAGGAAACACAAAAUCAAACCCUCGAUACAGGGACCCUUCGAAGAAUUGGGAAUUUGUACGCUACAAUAACCCUAGAACUGGAUACC